AUUGAACGCUGGCGGCAGGCCUAACACAUGCAAGUCGAACGAGUGGCGGACGGGUGAGUAAUGUCUGGGAAACUGCCCGAUGGAGGGGGAUAACUACUGGAAAAGGUAGCUAAUACCGCAUACCAUCAGAUGUGCCCAGAUGGGAUUAGCUAGUAGGUGGGGUAACGGCUCACCUAGGCGACGAUCCCUAGCUGGUCUGAGAGGAUGACAAGCCACACUGGAACUGGGACACGGUCCAGACUCGUACGGGAGGCAGAAGUGGGGAAUAUUGCACAAUGUGCGCAAGCCUGAUGCAGCCAUGCCGCGUGUAGGAAGAAGGCCUGCGGGUUGUAAAGUACUUUCAGCGGGGAGGCGUUACCCGCAGAAGAAGCACCGGCUAACUCCGUGCCAGCCGCCGCGGUAAUUC
RNAcentral lists this ribosomal RNA (406 nucleotides) under uncultured bacterium. RNAcentral's name for it is "partial 16S ribosomal RNA". It matches the Rfam family "Bacterial small subunit ribosomal RNA", at positions 30 to 526 of the family's 1533-position model. The record is from RNAcentral.